CUUAUUCCACCGGAGCCAUGCUUCAUCACCGGAGGAGCAGCCCAUGUCAUCACAGACCCGUUACCUGCCGUCACAUCCGUUACGUACCGGAUCUGCGAAAUGGAGAGCAUGAGCAGAGGGAGAGAAAGGCGUUCGAGGCGGAGCCGCACGUUCCCCACCACCACCGGUCUUAGAUCUGUACCGCCGUGAUCCCUUGGCCACCGUAGUUGAUCCAUAUUGUCGGAGAGCCAGCAAUGCUACGUCGUUAACUUCUCGUAUCGGUUGGUGAUGUGGAGCACGUGAUAAAUUAUGAUAAGUUCCUUAUUCCUAUUUUUCUUGUAUUACAAGUAACCGUUCUCAUCAUAAACCCUAUAAUUAUAUAUAUAUAUUAAUUAUGCCUUUGUCUUGUAUUAUUUAUAUGCGAUUUGAUGUGUCUUGGUGAGGAGUGGAGAUCCAUGGCGAAACCGUAGCUUUCUUGCUGAUAAAGUCAUUUUGUUUAUAGUCGGACUCGCUUCUGAUUCUGCCUUAUUGGCUAAGGUGAGGGUCUAUUCCGUAAAUCCCGUACCAGUGUAGAAUUCUCUCUAUCGUAGUUUAGAUUUCGAAUCAUGAUCCGUCUGUUUGAAUUGAGUCUUGAUUGUUAGCUAGUUCAUUUAUUGUAAACUGGAACUAGGGGUCUAGAGAAUUCAACCUUUGAUUGGAUUGUGUGAUGUUAAGAGAUGCGAUAUAUAUAUAUGUAUACAUAGUUAAUAGUAGGGACUAUGUGCGCGGGCGGGGGCUCAGAGAUGUCUGGGCUAGCGACGCUACUUUGGUUGUGCGGGCAGGGGUUCAGAGACGUCUGGACUUGCGAUGCUACUUGUGCGGGCGUGUGGUGCAGAGACGUUUGUAUCAUGGACGCUACUUGAGAGGGCGGGGGUACAGAGACAUACUGUACUAGCGACGCUACGUAUUAUAUAUCCAUAUGAGGAGAUGCGGAGUGUAUGGACUAGCUUUAUGCUAUCAUCGCAUUGUUUGGUUUGUGUGACGCGCUAGGCGUCGUGUGUGUUCAUGUUAGAGCUAAACUUCCAUAGUGGGAGUUCUAUUUACUCCAGUCCGUGGUUUGCGUGUUUAGCAUCCCCAUACCUCACGGAGUAACUCCCCUGUUACUCACCCCUCCUAUUCCUUUCCCCUUUCAGUUGAGACUGACGAGCAGGAGUGAUUGCUAUCGGAUUGGUGCUUUGGGAGUUCUAUUUCUUUUAUUUUCAGACUUUCGAUUUUAUGAUUUCAUCGAUAUUUCAGGAUUUAUCUCUUUUAUUGCAUUUAUGGUUAUUUAUUGGAUUUAUGACUUUGGAGUUGACUUUUGAGAAGUAAUAAAUGGAGAUUUCAGACUUUUUAUUUAUUUAAGUUAUUUUGGAAAAUACGGGUGUUACAAUUUGGUAUCAGAGCGGGGUUCCGUCCCGGCUCUGACCCGGGACGGCGAUUUAUGGGACUAAGAUUUCAAUGAUUUUCAAUGUUUUGGAAUUGGGGGUUAAAAAAAAAAAAUUUUGACACCAAGAAGUCCAGUAUCUUUCGGUUAGUUGUUAGUGUUUCUAACUCUUUUAUUUUUGCAGGAGAAGACCAAAUUUCAAUUCGUUUCCAUUGUUUGAUUUAUCUUGUGUUUUUCUUUUCUUCGUAGUCGUUGAAGUUCGUUUCGGGUUCUAUCUAGAAUUCGGGACGAAUUCCGAUUAAGUGGGGAAGAAUUGUAACGACCGUAACCCGGUUUCUCUUUAAACCGAUAGUGGUUUAAUUCAAAUAAUAAUUAAUUAUCUAUAAAACCAAAAGCUAACCAUUUUAAUUCCUAACCCUAACCGUAUAUUCUUGUACACGUAUUUAUAUAUGUUGUACUCUUCGUUAAAAAGCCAGCCACCAUUAUUUUAGAUCGAGCCAGAGCUGAUGCCAUUGUGUUUGUCCACCUCUAAUCAUCACUCUCGUCUCCAUCUCUUUCCUCCUUUAUUCCCGUGUUCUUCUUCUCCCUCUUUAUGAAGCUGUGCGUUGUUGUUUGGAGAUGCGAGACGCAAGCACCACCACCACCGUGAACCAUCUCACCUUAUUCCACCGGAGCCAUGCUUCAUCACCGGAGGAGCAGCCCAUGUCAUCACAGACCCGUUACCUGCCGUCACAUCCGUUACGUACCGGAUCUGCGAAAUGGAGAGCAUGAGCAGAGGGAGAGAAAGGCGUUCGAGGCGGAGCCGCACGUUCCCCACCACCACCGGUCUUAGAUCUGUACCGCCGUGAUCCCUUGGCCACCGUAGUUGAUCCAUAUUGUCGGAGAGCCAGCAAUGCUACGUCGUUAACUUCUCGUAUCGGUUGGUGAUGUGGAGCACGUGAUAAAUUAUGAUAAGUUCCUUAUUCCUAUUUUUCUUGUAUUACAAGUAACCGUUCUCAUCAUAAACCCUAUAAUUAUAUAUAUAUAUUAAUUAUGCCUUUGUCUUGUAUUAUUUAUAUGCGAUUUGAUGUGUCUUGGUGAGGAGUGGAGAUCCAUGGCGAAACCGUAGCUUUCUUGCUGAUAAAGUCAUUUUGUUUAUAGUCGGACUCGCUUCUGAUUCUGCCUUAUUGGCUAAGUUGAGACUGACGAGCAGGAGUGAUUGCUAUCGGAUUGGUGCUUUGGGAGUUCUAUUUCUUUUAUUUUCAGACUUUCGAUUUUAUGAUUUCAUCGAUAUUUCAGGAUUUAUCUCUUUUAUUGCAUUUAUGGUUAUUUAUUGGAUUUAUGACUUUGGAGUUGACUUUUGAGAAGUAAUAAAUGGAGAUUUCAGACUUUUUAUUUA
This is a long non-coding RNA of Brassica napus (rape), 2759 nucleotides long. RefSeq lists it as uncharacterized. Lineage: Eukaryota; Viridiplantae; Streptophyta; Magnoliopsida; Brassicales; Brassicaceae. The record is from RefSeq and is a predicted model, not a curated record. The transcript is spliced from 2 exons.